CCGGCAGGUCCUCCUCCUUUUCCUUCAUCCUCACCUCAUCCUUCGUCGAGGUUGCAGUGCUUUCCUCAGGAGGGCGCUGUUGUUGGGCGAGACCACGACCAGAAAGAAGCAAAGAGGUGUCAAUGGGAGGCCAAUACUGGCACACUGGAUGCAAGUUGCCUUAUAUAAGUACUAUUUUAAUUACAUUAAAAAAAAAAAAAAACUAAUAAGGUAAUCGUAACGAGGAUAAGCUGUAUCGAAAAUGAACGGAUGGCUCAUUAUAAGUAUUACAACGUGAUGCUCUGAGUAAGCACUAAUGCUGUUCUGAAAGUAGUGCACCCGUCAUGCGACGUUACAAAUUUCUAGGAAUGUUGUGGAAAUGAUCAUUUUAUAACACUGCCAGAGAUUUAUAGAAGCAAAUGUUGAUAGUGAAUGACUUCCCAAUUAUUUUGAGAAAUCAUUUACAUAAUGAGUGUCUUUGACAUAAAUAAUUUACAUAAUCAAAGUAUCCAUACUGUAUCAUAAUUUGUUUUCAAUAAUCAUAUAUCAAGGUAAACUUGAUCACGCAAGAUCUUCCCCUUUGCCACAUGUGAUCAAAAUGAAUGGGAUCUAAUGGUGCGCAAAAAAGAAGAGAGCACACUCGGCAUUUUUUAGUCUGCCCUGACUCAUUGAGCAGUCUGGCGGUCUGGUGAAUAAACAAGACAUGACGUCUCUGCGUGGUCUUACAAAACCAAGCUUUUAUAGCACCGAUAAACCAAUCACUGGGCCAGAAAGGAAGCUGUCCCACAUGCUCGUCAGCAGAUUCGGGAGGAUGCGCGUGCGAGCUUCAGACCAAAAAAGGGCGGCGAGGGUGAAUGGUGUGACACGCAGGAUGUGGGAAGGCACCACUCAGUGUCUUUUAUGGAGGAUCGCUGACUCAACUGAGAGCCCACACCUUGUUUUUCCUGGAUUUGAUACUGGAAAACUCAUGACUAAAAGUGGAGAACAAACAACAAAGACAGAGUGAACAGUAAAUGAGUCGUCUUUUUAAUUACAAAUAUGUAUUAAAUAAUAUGAAAGGUACACAUAGAGAGGUAUGCAGUAAUCAUGAAGGUAUUAUCAUAGUAAUGAUGAUUACGUAUGAAUAUUUACAAUGUUUAUAUAUCUGUAUAUGUACGCGUAUAUCAACACGUUCCUCAAACAGGACACGCAACAAAACAUUCACAUAGGUGUCACAACAAAUAAAAAAAUGCUGCGGAAGGGUGG
Molecule: long non-coding RNA, 1224 nt
Organism: Hippocampus comes (tiger tail seahorse)
Lineage: Eukaryota; Metazoa; Chordata; Actinopteri; Syngnathiformes; Syngnathidae
Exons: 2
Source: RefSeq, a predicted model, not a curated record